CGACUUAGCUCAGUUGGUAGAGCAUCUGAUUUGUAAUCAGAGGGUCGGGCGUUCGAAUCGUCUAG
Molecule: transfer RNA, 65 nt
Filed under: Latilactobacillus sakei
Lineage: Bacteria; Bacillati; Bacillota; Bacilli; Lactobacillales; Lactobacillaceae
Also listed under: 2 other names
Rfam family: tRNA
About the family: Transfer RNA (tRNA) molecules are approximately 80 nucleotides in length.
Source: RNAcentral